Molecule: non-coding RNA, 25 nt
Filed under: Mus musculus (house mouse)
Lineage: Eukaryota; Metazoa; Chordata; Mammalia; Rodentia; Muridae
Source: RNAcentral
UGCAGCCCUGUGUCGCCUGUCUACA